CACGUCCGGUCGUCCUUCGUUUGGCAGUGGAGGAGUGGGAAGGUAUGAGAGCGCUCUUUAGGGUAAAGGUCCGAGGUGACAGAGACCUGACCCAGCAUCGGGCCCAGGGGACCACCUGUCCCGCACCCAUCUCUGACAUCUCUCCAGACUCCCUGGGCCCCGGGGUCACCGUCCCUGCUGAGGGAGUGGGUGGGUUGGGGGCAGGGCAGAGGCUGGCUCACGGGGACACUUGUGUGGCCCCGGCCGUGAGGGUCGACUUCGCAGGGCGCAGCUGACUGGAGACGAGGGGGUCGAGGACAUGGGCACGAAUGUGCCUUGGCCCAGGUGUGAGAACAUGUACGGAAGGCUCGGCCUCUGGGUGACUCAGUCUGCAAGCAAACUAUGCAAGGGAAGUGACUCACUGUCAACCCUGCGCGAGAACUCCUGAGGCCAGGCCGCCAGCACCUGUCUGGGACGGGGUUAGUUAUUAACGCUGCCAGGAAGACUGUCAUGGGAACCGGACACCGGCCAAGAUUGGGCUUCCCAGAGCCUGCGGAGCCUCUCGCUCACCUUCCGAGGGCUCCUCUCCUCUCCUCUGAACCCCGAAGGCAGAGGAGCCCACGCAGCUCUGGGUUGUACCACGUGUCCCCGGGCCCUCUGAAGAUGACACACAUUCCACCCAGGACGAGGAAGGGGACCGAGAAGUGGUUUGGCCAGGAAGAGUACACACAUACAUAAGGGCUUCUCCUUCUGGAUCCCAAAAGGCAGGCUUCGCCACUCUUGGGAGAGGCCCAGUCCAGACACAGGUCAGGCCUGCCCCCGCCGGCCCCUGCCCUUCCACGUGCAGCCGUCGAGCAGAAGGAGGACGAGGGAUGGACCAGGAAGAGUGGGAGUUUUAGGGAGUCAGGCUUCCCAAGGUCCCCAAAAAAGCAGCCCAGCGCCCGAAGGGAAGAGCCGCCCCCGGUAUUUGUUGUCUCCCGUGGAAGGCCCUAAAGCGCUCGGGAGCCACUCAGGGGGGCGGUGGGGAUGCCACCUGCCUGCCUGGGCUACGGACGGAGGGCACUGGGCUCCUGGCCGGGACACACGCUCCCUGGGUGGCCCUGAGCAAGUCAUCCAGCACUCAGGCGGUUUCCCCAUCUGUAAAGUGGGAAGAAUAACAUCACUUGUCCUGCUCCCCUGACAGGGUCUGUGUGAGGCCAGCUGAGAUCACUGAGCACUGUGGCGAGGCUUCGGGAGUGGCCAAGGGCCACCCAGAUCGGGGAUGAGGCACUGUGCAGGGUUUGUGGUCUGUGCUCCCCGGGAGGGUGGCUUUCCAGACACCCACCUGUGGCCUAAGAGAUCCUUGGAC
This 1327-nucleotide long non-coding RNA is filed under the name Mustela putorius furo (domestic ferret). RNAcentral's name for it is "lncRNA (ENSMPUG00000029803.1)". The record is from RNAcentral. Lineage: Eukaryota; Metazoa; Chordata; Mammalia; Carnivora; Mustelidae.